ACUACGUGGCGCUACUGCUGGCCCGGCGCGGCCAGGCUGCUGGGGGCGUCCCCCUGUGGCCCGCCCAGGGACAAGUGACUUGAUGAUAGGUUCUGCCAAGCCCCUCACAUGAUUCUGUGAAACUCAUGGGAGCGAGGAACGACUGCUGCGCGGAGGUGACAGUGUCUCCAGGGUGCUGUUAUUGCAAGGGCACCGGCCCUCCGGCCCAAAGCAGGGCAGGGACAUGAGGGAGAACGCGCCCUGUCCCUCCCACCUCCUCCGGACUCGGCCCCUGGAGGGGCUGACGCUGGAAGACGUGACAUCGUCGCUUCUGCUGUUCAUGGCUUUUGACUCAUGUUCAGGUUUGAAAUCUUUUACCCAGUUUAAGAACGGGAUGAACUCUCCUCGUUUAAAGGAGAGAAUGAAGAACCCUGAACGCAAAUCUCGAUCCUUGUCCCCAUUAAUCUGAGGCGGCAGGAAGAAUGUGGAGGCAAACCUGGCUCUUCUCAGUACUGUUCCAGCCACCCACCGCUCUGCCAUUCAGGAACUCUGCGCGGGUGCCAGGUGCCACGCGCGGUGCUGCCUCCGCACUCCCCGCAAGCUGUGCGAACUGUAGGAAGGAGAGGCUGCUGGGGUGGAGGGCAGCAGGGAGAGACCCAUGUUCGGGGUCAGACGAGAGCAGCUUCAUGAAGUUCUGGGGGAGGCGAAGCAUUAUGACCAGAUGGAAAUGAAAGGAAACGGGAGACUCUGUAUUAAUAAACUAGCAGCUUUAUUGCCCUUUAGGGGCCAUGUCUUCA
Molecule: long non-coding RNA, 776 nt
Organism: Rhinopithecus roxellana (golden snub-nosed monkey)
Lineage: Eukaryota; Metazoa; Chordata; Mammalia; Primates; Cercopithecidae
Exons: 2
Source: RefSeq, a predicted model, not a curated record